Molecule: ribosomal RNA, 448 nt
Filed under: uncultured bacterium
Lineage: Bacteria
Description: partial 16S ribosomal RNA
Rfam family: Bacterial small subunit ribosomal RNA
Source: RNAcentral
GCCAGACUCCUACGGGAGGCAGCAGUGGGGGAUAUUGCACAAUGGGGGGAACCCUGAUGCAGCGACGCCGCGUGGGUGAAGGAGCGUUUCGGCGCGUAAAGCCCUAUCGGCAGGGAAGAAGGAGGACGGUACCUGACUAAGAAGCCCCGGCUAACUACGUGCCAGCAGCCGCGGUAAUACGUAGGGGGCAAGCGUUAUCCGGAUUUACUGGGUGUAAAGGGGGCGCAGACGGCAGCGCAAGCCAGGAGUGAAAGCCCGGGGCCCAACCCCGGGACUGCUCUUGGAACUGCGCGGCUGGAGUGCAGGAGGGGCAGGCGGAAUUCCUGGUGUAGCGGUGAAAUGCGUAGAUAUUAGGAGGAACACCAGUGGCGAAGGCGGCUUACUGGACUGUAACUGACGUUGAGGCUCGAAAGCGUGGGGAGCAAACAGGAUUAGAUACCCUAGUGCC